UGGAGGGCUCGAAGAUCUUGGA
RNAcentral lists this microRNA (22 nucleotides) under Monodelphis domestica (gray short-tailed opossum). Its description in RNAcentral is "mdo-miR-12412-5p". Lineage: Eukaryota; Metazoa; Chordata; Mammalia; Didelphimorphia; Didelphidae. The record is from miRBase by way of RNAcentral.